This 2658-nucleotide ribosomal RNA is filed under the name Triticum aestivum (bread wheat). RNAcentral describes it as "partial small subunit ribosomal RNA". The record is from RNAcentral. Lineage: Eukaryota; Viridiplantae; Streptophyta; Magnoliopsida; Poales; Poaceae.
AUGCCUGCCUCCAGUUCUUCCAGCAGGAACCGCCGGAGCACCCAGGAAAGGGUGUUAGCACAAACAACCCUUGAUGCUCAACUCAAUGCUGAGUUUGAAGAAUCUAGUGACUCCUUCGACUACUCCAAGCUGGUCGAAGCCCAGCGGGACACUCCAACCGUGCUGCAGGAAGGGCGGUCGGAGAAAGUCAUAGCCUACUUGCAGCACAUUCAGAGAGGGAAGAUGAUCCAGUCGUUUGGUUGCUUGUUGGCCCUUGAUGAGAAGAGCUUCAAUGUCAUCGCGUUCAGCGAAAACGCGCCAGAAAUGCUUACAACUGUCAGCCAUGCAGUGCCCAGUGUCAACGAUCCCCCAAGGCUCGACAUCGGCACCAAUGUACGGUCUCUGUUCACUGACCAGGGUGCCACGGCUCUGCACAAGGCACUAGGGUUUGCUGAUGUUUCUUUGCUGAAUCCUAUCCUGGUUCAGUGCAAGACCUCAGGCAAGCCUUUCUAUGCCAUUGUUCACCGAGCAACCGGCUGUUUGGUGGUAGACUUUGAGCCUGUAAACCCCACAGAAUUUCCUGCCUCUGCUGCUGGGGCCUUGCAGUCUUACAAGCUUGCUGCCAAGGCAAUCUCCAAGAUCCAGGCACUGCCAGGUGGAAGCAUAGAGCUGCUAUGCAAUACUGUGGUCAAGGAAGUCUUUGAACUUACAGGGUAUGAUAGGGUUAUGGCUUACAAGUUCCAUGAAGAUAACCAUGGCGAGGUCUUUGCCGAGAUCACAAAGCCUGGCCUUGAGCCUUAUCUGGGCCUGCACUAUCCAGCCACUGAUAUCCCUCAAGCGGCCAGGUUCCUUUUCAUGAAGAACAAAGUGCGGAUGAUUUGCGAUGUCCGCUCAAGAUCCAUAAAGGUCAUCGAAGAUGAGGCACUCCCCUUUGAUAUUAGCUUGUGUGGUUCAGCGCUCAGGGCAGCACACAGCUGUCACCUUCAGUAUAUGGAGAACAUGAACUCGAUUGCAUCCCUUGUCAUGGCUGUUGUGGUUAAUGAGAAUGAAGAGGAUGACGAGGUCGGGUCUGAACAACCAGCACAGCAGCAGAAGAAGAAGAUACUGUGGGGCCUUGUUGUUUGCCACCAUGAGAGCCCCAGAUAUGUCCCUUUUCCGCUGCGCUAUGCUUGUGAGUUCUUAGCACAGGUGUUUGCUGUCCAUGUCAACAAGGAGUUUGAAGUGCAGAAACAAUUACGCGAAAAAAGCAUACUGAGGACGCAAACAAUUCUCUCCGACAUGCUGUUCAAGGAAGCCUCCCCCCUGACUAUCGUAUCAGGGGCACCCAAUAUCAUGGACCUAAUCAAAUGUGACGGUGCUGCUCUUCUGUAUGGGGACAAAGUAUGGCGUCUGGGCAAUGCUCCAACCGAGUCUCAGAUACGUGAUCUUGCCUUGUGGCUGUCGGAAGUUCACAUGGACUCCACUGGCCUGAGUACUGAGAGCCUCCAUGAUGCUGGCUACCCAGGAGCCUCUGCUCUUGGUGAUUCGGUUUGUGGGAUGGCAGUGGCUAAGAUCAAUUCCAGUGAUAUUCUUUUUUGGUUCAGGUCACAUACAGCUCAAGAAAUCAGAUGGGGAGGUGCAAAGAAUGACCCAUCGGACCAGGAUGACAGCAGAAGGAUGCACCCCAGGUUGUCUUUCAAGGCAUUCCUUGAAGUUGUCAAGAUGAAGAGCUUGGCUUGGACUGAUUCUGAGAUGGAUGCUAUUCAUUCAUUGCAACUUAUACUUCGAGGGACGGUGGAUGGUGUCGUCAAGCCAACCGGAAAAGCUAGCUUAGAUGAACAGAUUGGUGAUCUAAAGCUUGAUGGGCUUGCUGAAUUGCAGGCAGUGACCAGUGAAAUGGUUCGUCUAAUGGAAACAGCAACUGUUCCAAUCUUGGCGGUAGAUGGCAAUGGAUUGGUCAACGGGUGGAACCAGAAAGCGGCAGAAUUGACUGGGCUAAGGGUUGAUGAUGCCAUAGGAAGGCACAUACUUACCCUUGUGGAGGAAUCUUCUGUAUCAGUUGUCCAGAGGAUGCUAUAUCUAGCUUUGCAGGGCAAAGAAGAGAAAGAAGUUCGAUUUGAGGUAAAGACUCAUGGCCCAAAGAGAGAUGAUGGCCCUGUUAUCUUGGUUGUGAAUGCUUGUGCCAGCCGGGACCUUCAUGAUGAUGUUGUUGGGGUGUGCUUUGUAGCCCAAGAUGUGACUGUCCAUAAGUUGGUGAUGGACAAGUUUACUCGGGUUGAGGGAGACUACAUGGCGAUCAUUCACAACCCGAACCCACUCAUUCCUCCUAUAUUUGGUGCUGAUGAAUUUGGAUGGUGUUGUGAGUGGAAUGCUGCAAUGACCAAGCUGACUGGGUGGCACAGAGAGGAAGUGCUCAAUAAGAUGCUUCUCGGUGAAGUGUUCGACAGUAGCAAUGCCUCCUGCCUUUUGAAGAACAAAGAUGCAUUUGUAAGCCUUUGUGUUGUUAUCAACAGCGCGUUAGCCGGCGAAGAAACGGAAAAGGCUCCAUUUGGCUUCUUCGACCGAAGCGGGAAGUACACUGAUUGCCUUCUGUCAGUGAACAGAAGGGAAAAUGAGGGUGGUCUCAUCACUGGGGUAUUCUGUUUUAUUCAUAUUCCUAGUCAUGAGCUGCAACAAGCACUGCAGGUGCAGCAAGCCUAG